RNAcentral lists this ribosomal RNA (448 nucleotides) under uncultured bacterium. RNAcentral's name for it is "bacterial SSU rRNA". It matches the Rfam family "Bacterial small subunit ribosomal RNA", at positions 335 to 799 of the family's 1533-position model. The record is from RNAcentral.
ACUCCUACGGGAGGCAGCAGUGGGGAAUCUUGGACAAUGGGGCGAACCCUGAUCCAGCCAUGCCGCGUGAGUGAUGAAGGCCUUAGGGUCGUAAAGCUCUUUCGCCUGUGAUGAUAAUGACAGUAGCAGGUAAAGAAACCCCGGCUAACUCCGUGCCAGCAGCCGCGGUAAUACGGAGGGGUUAGCGUUGUUCGGAAUUACUGGGGCGUAAAGCGCGCGUAGGCGGAUUAGUCAGUUAGAGGUGAAAUCCCAGGGCUCAACCCUGGAACUGCCUUUAAUACUGCUAGUCUUGAGUUCGAGAGAGGUGAGUGGAAUUCCGAGUGUAGAGGUGAAAUUCGUAGAUAUUCGGAGGAACACCAGUGGCGAAGGCGGCUCACUGGCUCGAUACUGUCGCUGAGGUGCGAAAGUGUGGGGAGCAAACAGGAUUAGAUACCCUGGUAGGAUAGCG